This 103-nucleotide ribosomal RNA is filed under the name Allium tuberosum. RNAcentral's name for it is "4.5S ribosomal RNA". Lineage: Eukaryota; Viridiplantae; Streptophyta; Magnoliopsida; Asparagales; Amaryllidaceae. The record is from RNAcentral.
UAAGGUCACGGCGAGACGAGCCGUUUAUCAUUACGAUAGGUGUCUAGUGGAAGUGCAGUGAUGUAUGCAGCUGAGGCAUCCUAAUAGACCGAGAGAUUUGAAC